AUGGAUCAGUUUCAGGACGGCCACCACGUGCGGCUGCGGAGCCGCGAGCGCGGCAUGUACUUGCACGCCGACGAGGACGGGCAUGGCGUCUUCCUCCACCACCGCCGGGCGUCGAUGAACGCGGCUUGGGUGGUGCACCUGUACCACGGCCACGCGGAGUACGUGCUCCUCCACAGCGCCGCCUACGGCCGCUACCUCGCCGCCACGGAUGCGCCGGCGCCGCUAGGCCACCGCGGGCUCCGCGUCGAGCUGCGGGACUACGCACAGCCGGAGGUGCAGGCCAUCAUGUGGAAGGCCGACGGAGCCGACUCUGGAAACGACGUCCUGCUCUGGCAGUUCACCGGCCGCUGCCUCCGCGCCAACGGGAGGUACCUCAGCUGGAACAAUGGCGUCAGCGCCGAGGACAUCGAGGACACCUACAUCGUCAGCACGAUGAUGCACUGGGUAGUGGAGCCCAUCCCCGCCAUGGAGGACAUGCCCCCCCUUCCACGUCCGACUGGGCUUCUCUUCCCCGGAAUACUCACCGCCCUGUUGCCGUCGCGGCUGAUCGUGUACGUGCGGGCGGGGGCCGACGGGACCCGCAUGAACCACGGCGCGUUGGUGUUCAGGGGCAGGUCCGUGGUCCGCCUUAGGAAGAAGCUGAUGCGCCGGCUGGACGUCUCCGACCUCGUCAUGUGCGUCGAAGCGGGUACUUUCGGGCGGCCUACCCCACUCGUCGUCGACCUGCCCCGCAGCGUCCGGGACCUCCACAUCGUCGUCUUCGCGGCCGGGACGCCAGCCCAUGCGGAGGUGCGGUACCCGGACGUGGAUGCAGUGUAG
This 819-nucleotide ribosomal RNA is filed under the name Triticum aestivum (bread wheat). Its description in RNAcentral is "partial small subunit ribosomal RNA". The record is from RNAcentral. Lineage: Eukaryota; Viridiplantae; Streptophyta; Magnoliopsida; Poales; Poaceae.